RNAcentral lists this ribosomal RNA (303 nucleotides) under uncultured bacterium. RNAcentral describes it as "partial 16S ribosomal RNA". It matches the Rfam family "Bacterial small subunit ribosomal RNA", at positions 507 to 809 of the family's 1533-position model. The record is from RNAcentral.
AGCAGUCGCCACGGUAAUACAGAGGGUGCGAGCGUUAAUCGGAUUUACUGGGCGUAAAGCGUGCGUAGGCGGCUAAUUGAGUCGGAUGUGAAAUCCCCGAGCUUAACUUGGGAAUUGCAUUCGAUACUGGUUAGCUAGAGUGUGGGAGAGGUUGGUAGAAUUCCAGGUGUAGCGGUGAAAUGCGUAGAGAUCUGGAGGAAUACCGAUGGCGAAGGCAGCCAUCUGGCCUAACACUGACGCUGAGGUACGAAAGCAUGGGGAGCAAACAGGAUUAGAUACCCCAGUAGUCCCUGUCUCUUAUAA